UUUUUACAAGUACCCGUGAGGGAAAGUUGCAAAGAACUUUGAAGAGAGAGUUCAAGAGGGCGUGAAACCGUUUAGAGGGAAACAGGUAGAGCUGAUGAAAGCAGGGGGCAUUCANCCUGAAGUUGAAAGACUGAAGGUGUAUUUGCUGCCUGUGGCGCUGGUAGGGAUGGUGCUUGAGGUCUAGUUCUGCAGAGAGGGCCACUCUUUUGUGGUAUCCUUUGCUAAAUGAAGCCGCUUUGCAUCAUCCUCUGUGUGAGCCCACUAUGUGGCUUGUUGCAGUCCUCUUCUGGUGGUUUGUUUAGGUUGAAGUGAUUCGACUUGGGCAUGCUGCUGGAAAGUCUGUGCCUUGCCUGUGGUUGUGCACUGCCAGUGAAAAAGUCAGCUACCUUCCUGACCCGUCUUGAAACACGGACCAAGGAGUCUAACAUGUGCGCGAGCUGAAGGGUGGUAAACCUACACAGCGCAAUGAAGGUGAAGGUUGGCUAGACCAACUUCUAUGGGACCUGUUGCUUCGGUGACAGUGCACCAUAGUCCCGUCGCGUCUGCAUGUCAGUGCGGCGGAGAUAGAGCGUACACGUUGGGACCCGAAAGAUGGUGAACUAUGCCUGAGCAGGACGAAGCCAGGGGAAACUCUGGUGGAGGUCCGAAGCGGUUCUGACGUGCAAAUCGAUCGUCANACUUGGGUAUAGGGGC
RNAcentral lists this ribosomal RNA (693 nucleotides) under Odontophora sp. 2I11K2. RNAcentral describes it as "eukaryotic LSU rRNA". It matches the Rfam family "Eukaryotic large subunit ribosomal RNA", at positions 339 to 924 of the family's 3401-position model. Lineage: Eukaryota; Metazoa; Nematoda; Chromadorea; Araeolaimida; Axonolaimidae. The record is from RNAcentral.